UCUGCCUGGUUGCCUUAUAGCCAACGGCCGGUCAAUCUCUGAUCCGAAUCCUAAUCCCUUUUAGAAUCACCAGAUCUAACUUGCCUUAAUUUAUAAACAACCUUCAUCGUCGCCAUCAGAUUUCCACCAUUAAAGAAACUCGCCGCCUGGUUCUUGGUUAAGGUAAUUUCCCAACCUUUGUAUGCUCUUAGGAACGGUAAGCCCUUCCCUUCUUUGACUUUCAUUAUUCUAAGACAUUGUUCUAUGCUAUUAGUUUCAUUGCUAGAGAAUUUUAGUGAAUAUGAUAUUGUUAUUUUUCAUAUUUUGGGAAAUUAUUUUUUGGGGGUGAUUCUUCUUUAGGAAAAAUAUACCCUGUGAUUUAGAUUUUUAUUAAGAGUUUGAG
RNAcentral lists this unclassified non-coding RNA (382 nucleotides) under Hevea brasiliensis (rubber tree). Lineage: Eukaryota; Viridiplantae; Streptophyta; Magnoliopsida; Malpighiales; Euphorbiaceae. The record is from RNAcentral.